GUUUUACGAUGCAAUAGCAAAUGUAAAAGUAGCUUGACGUAUCAAGCCCAAGUGUUAAGUUUCAAACUUGGGUCUAUUAAUCAAGUUAUAUGA
This 93-nucleotide unclassified non-coding RNA is filed under the name Arabidopsis thaliana (thale cress). Its description in RNAcentral is "partial miscellaneous RNA". Lineage: Eukaryota; Viridiplantae; Streptophyta; Magnoliopsida; Brassicales; Brassicaceae. The record is from RNAcentral.